UCCUUUAAUCCAAUGUUAUACAUCAUUAAUCCAUUGAUAUAUACAACAUGAAUCCAUUUAUAUACAACAUUAAUCUCCAUAUAUACAACAUUAAUAUAGUGAUAUUCAUGCAUGUACAACAACAUUCCAUACAUAUAUGUACACAACCUAUAUGAUUCUAUGAUCAAUAAUGAAUUGACACAAUUCAUCCUUCAUUUCAUCCAAAUGAGCUCUUGAGUAAGAUUUGUAUUCGUC
RNAcentral lists this long non-coding RNA (234 nucleotides) under Lathyrus oleraceus (garden pea). RNAcentral's name for it is "Pisum sativum (pea) long non-coding RNA (PSAT_LNC017501)". The record is from RNAcentral. Lineage: Eukaryota; Viridiplantae; Streptophyta; Magnoliopsida; Fabales; Fabaceae.